ACCAGGACGAGGACCUCGUGGGCUAGCGUCGACCCGCGAUCAUAUCCUAUAAAGUAAAUAAAUAUGAGUAAUGUGACUGAUGAACCUUGGAAGUGCCCGGUGAUCACGCUUUUGGUGGUGGUACCACCUCGCUACCGCAAAGACUCCAAUGCGCAACUGCGUGCCGCUACUAGCAACGGGUCGUACCCAAUACCCAAUAACCACCGCGGCAUCCACAUGCAACGAGUCACUGCCGUGAGCUUUGGCUAAGUGCGAAUGUCGUAAGGGUAGGUAGCUCAUGAGCGCAGAAAAUUUAUGGUGUCAAUUACGGUCCGCACAGCGGAUGGUGGCCCCCAGCAGUCACACCUUCAAGUACUCCUCAAUCCCAAGGACUCCAGCACGAUCGAAGUCAAGGUGCGUGAACCAGCAGUCCAGUUCGUAUUUCCGCGGUUGCCGGCCAAGAAUGUCCUGACAUACAUAGCAAUAUGUGCGGGGAAAGUGUAAGGUGGGAAAAGUGUGCUUGGGUUGAGAACUCCGGUGUGAAGUCACGCACCCAACUUCGGAACCCUAGGGUGCACACCGUAUAGGCACUGGGGUCGCACUGCAAUACAGGUACCCAUUAAGCACAAACCCACCACCGCAUGCCAACAGUAUUUCAGCAUAGGUGCGGAUGAUAUCGGCCUGACUCUAACAAAGCCUCAAGUCGCUGGAACAGCGUGAUGAGCAGCAAGCCGUCUCGGCUCUUUAACCGAUGCGUUCAGAUGCUCCCAUGAAUGCAGUAGCUGCUCUGGUAUAUAGGCUGAAACCACCGUUUCAUCGCUCGUCCAAAUUGCAAGUCCCACCUUCAGGAUGUCGCCGAGCUUGGCACGGAGGAUGUGGGUAUCGCCGUUGACCUCCAUCACUACUGAGAUGUCUGAAUCUCCUAUUAGGUACUUGUUGAAAGCGUCGACAUACUGGUCAAUUGGCAAAGUAUGGAAGAUGUACUCGUGGCUUAUCUUGUUUGCGUCCCGAAUGGGCUCUUGCGGACCAAGAGAAGUCAACCCAAAGAAAGCCUGCAAACACGUUUCUGCGUGAGCUGCUGACCAUUGCUUCUAAUCUAAUUGCGACACAAUGCGCACCAUUUAGCACACAGUUCAGGCACAAGAGUGGGUUUCCUUGUCCUACGCUUCUAGUUACAAAAUAAACAUAUACUUGUUACUACAAUGCUGUCCUCCCAGUUAUUUCUGAACCCUUGCUAACUAUAUUACUGUACAUAUAAGUAGCUACGACCACCAUGAACGCUAGGGCAAAGACGUCCUGCUUAGGUGUCCCCGGUCUGACCUGUGCAAGUAUGUGAACAAUUAUCCUCGCUCUCGGUGUUGCAUGAAUGCCAAUAUUGCCGUACGACUGGUUUCUGAAUUCCCCGUAGCAAUACAGUAAUAGGGGGUAAAUACUUUCUUCUUCCUGCUUGAUUGUCACAAUCAUGCCAGGGCUCUUAUGAACCUUUUGCCCUUGUUUUACCAACUUAUGGAUACCGGUGUUACAGGAUUCGUUAGUGAUAGUGAUCGCCUACUCUGAUACUCCAGACAGUUGAGUGCUAAACAUCAGCAAAUACGUACAACUAUAAUAAAUAAACGUGUUAAGAUUUUCAGGGUGCGGAGCAAGCAGUAGCUGAGCGAAUCCCGAACGGCUCGAGUGCGUGCGUGGAGCCGCUGUGGGGGACCCGCAUUCGACGCACCGGUCGCUUGCGGACACCAUCAUGCUUUCGAUUGAUUCCUCGUGCACAAGAGGGCUUAACGUCACACAAGUCCGGAGUCCAAAUGAGGGGGCGAAUCCGAAAUGAUUACACCGUAGUCCCACAAAUGUAACCUUCACCAUCACGCUGGCACGCAAGCUGUCGAUCGGCAAAAAAAGUCGCCAUCCAGCCAAUAAGGGUGAAUGGUUUGCGGUAAUGUUGAAAUCUUGCCUUGAGCAGGAAAGUCCAUAAGACAGGUAAGACUGGUGGGACACAACUGUCGCACGUAUCCUACGAUACAUGGAGAAGAAAGAUGCUCGCACCUCAUUCCCACGAUAUAGCAACAUACGUGACCCACCUCGAGCGAACGGAUAGCCCGAAACCCAAGAUUUCCGUUUUCCGUUUCAAUGGAAGAUGCCAUUGAUACCAAUCGGUCGGCAUGUUUAGCGUUCUACACGGACGCACUGCAACAUGUCCGCAGUCCUAAUGUACCAGGGAAAUACAGGGAAUCAUUAGAAAGCAUCAUUUGCCGAUCAUACUCCGCACAUUUUAGGAAGAGUUGCAUCUAUAUUUGCGGACAGAAUCACCUUCAUUGGCGUGCUUCAGGCGAAUUCGAGAAUUCGGCCGCUUCGCGAAUGUGCCAAGGCCAGUACGGGCAGGCAUAGAAAUAGUGAUCUCAAAAUAAGCUGAUUCUCAAAGGUGUAGACCUUGCCCUCAAUUUUCGUUAGGGUGAGGGAGUAACUCCCAUUGAACGUAUAGGUCAGUGAGUGGAUACAAGUGAAGUGAUACAAGUUUACCUAAGCUACUGUGCAAUUCCUGUUUUGGAUGGAGUAACAUCAUUCCAAACGAGGAUAAUCAAAACCAUUUCUUGAUUCCGAUCGAAAUUAACUCGACUGAAGGCUUUUGUUUGAAGAAUUGCAUGGCUGCCAAUUGUUUGAAUUUCAAACCGAAAAGUCCGAUCCACAAAUGCAUUACGCACGCAGGCUGAUACCCUGACGUGCAGUGUUGCGGAAAAGGAUAUAGCAAGGUUGUGACGUUACAGUGUUAUCAAAGGACCUGGGAUCACGUGCAUAGCAACGAGAUAACCCAUCUGCAUGGAAGUCACGCACCAUAUCACACAUCCCUUUCCCCAAAAAUUACACCGUAACGAAAAAUUGAUCCUAAACAGAUCUGUCACAAUGUACAGGCAGGACCAUCGCGCCUGACCGCCCCCAUAGGACCAUCAAGCCAGCCCGAAAGCCCCUGAUGCCCAGUCAAAGGUCCACCAGUCCCAGCUCAAGCAUUGACGCCAAGAAUUUAGAAGAACGGAACGGACACGCCGUUCGUGGCGAAGUUGGCGCCCCACGGGUUGGCCAGGUGCUCGCCCAGAGCUGUGGGAAAGGGGAAAACAACGCAAUAAGUAACAAAAGAUGGCGAAAAAGGGCACGGCAAGGAACCGCUAAUUCAAGCACACAGUACAAUGACCCCAUAUUUCCAUAUUUCCAACCCAGCAACUACAUGUACCACUCACCAGCCAGGGGCCCCUUGCCUGUCGAUCCGCGAGACGAAUUGCAUGAAGAGCAGAGUACCCAGAAAACUUGGUUAGUAAUCAACAAACUUCGGCAAUACCAAAUAUUUCGUAUGCCAGCGCUUACCCGUGGCGGCGUGCUGGGCAAUGAAGCCCAGGAAGGCAACCAUUGCCAGGCGACCGUUCUUGAUCUCCUUGAGCUUCAGCUCACCAGCCUUGGACGAGUCCUUGGCAAAGCUGCAGGCAAACACGCAGUACAAAGAUUAUGAGCGUGUGCAGUGACCAUGUCAAAGGAAGCGACAGCAGAACAUACCCAAGGGGGUCGAAAGCACCGCCAGGGUAGAUCACACCGCCAGCAUCGUUGCGCUGGCCCUCAGCGGCCGCCAUGGCCACGAACUCCUACACGUGCGAUGAUGAAGACAAUCAUGACGGUGGAGAACACAAGACGAAAUCGUACAAUGCCGUCAACUUACGAAUGCCAGCAGGGUGUUCAGGUCGAACGGCACCUCAAUGCCGAACCAGGUGGCCUUGCCGCCAGUCACAGCCUGCACCAAUUCACAAGGGGGAAUCCAUUACGCAAGGAAAGCCAAGCCAAGUAGCAACAAACAAAAUUAUAUGCAACCCAAAAUUGAUUAGCGCAGCAAAACUUACCCAGAGAGGGGCAUCAUACCAGUUGCCGUAACCGAGCAGCUCCACAGCCAGAGCGCCAGCGACGCCGAGCAUAGCCCAGCGGCCUGGGUAGUUCAAAGAGAGUCCCUUCUAAAUUACCAGAUCUCUAAAGAAUACAUUUCUUUUUAUCACUUAUAUCAUACUCUAUAUGGCCUGACAAAUCCAAGCUGAUGCCAAGGAGCGGAUUUCCUGCAAGCCCAAUCCCACCGUGGAUGACCUCCGACUCGGUGAAGCGCUUCAGCGAGGCAGGGUCCUUGCCCAGAGACAGAGGGUCGAAGCCGUAGUUGCUGCAAAAGGUGCAAUAGCGAUGAGCGACAGAUUUCAGCUUAAAGUUCUUUUGAUGCGUCGGCGACGACUGACGAUGCUCACCCCGGCAGGUCAUCGGGCAGCCAAGCAGGAGCAUCCGAGCCUGGCAGCCAGUUGCCGGCCUUCAUCACAACGCGGCAGCCAUUGCUCACAGCAGCGACGCGGCGGCCCGCGAAGCCGCGAGGAGCGGCAGUCUUGGCCGAAACGGUGCGCAUGGAGAGGGCCAUUUCUGCUGACUGAAUGU
Molecule: long non-coding RNA, 4419 nt
Filed under: Volvox carteri
Lineage: Eukaryota; Viridiplantae; Chlorophyta; Chlorophyceae; Chlamydomonadales; Volvocaceae
Description: long non-coding RNA (VCAR_LNC003461)
Source: RNAcentral